This 775-nucleotide ribosomal RNA is filed under the name Amphinemura sulcicollis. Its description in RNAcentral is "eukaryotic LSU rRNA". It matches the Rfam family "Eukaryotic large subunit ribosomal RNA", at positions 44 to 502 of the family's 3401-position model. The record is from RNAcentral. Lineage: Eukaryota; Metazoa; Arthropoda; Insecta; Plecoptera; Nemouridae.
CAUUAAGCGGAGGAAAAGAAACUAACAAGGAUUCCCUGAGUAGCGGCGAGCGAAACGGGAAGAGCCCAGCACUGAAUCCUGACGUGUCAACGCACGGUGGAAAUGUAGUGUGUGGGAGGAUCUAUACAAGCCGGUGGGGACCUCGUUUAAGUCCGUCUUGAAAGCGGCCACAGCCCACAGAGGGUGCCAGGCCCGUAUGACGAUGGUGGAUCCCGCCGGCAUGGGUCUCUCCCCGGAGUCGAGUUGCUUGAGAGUGCAGCUCUAAGCGGGAGGUAAACUCCUUCUAAGGCUAAAUACGACCACAAGACCGAUAGCGAACAAGUACCGUGAGGGAAAGUUGAAAAGCACUUUGAAGAGAGAGUUCAAGAGUACGUGAAACCGUUCAGGGGUAAACGAAUGUUAUCUGGAAAAUCGAAGCGAGAGAUUCAAACCGUACGUCGGUAAGUUCACGCGAUUGUCUCCGAUCAUCUGAGUCCCCCGCGCGCUGCAGCAAUGCACGCCGGUGUGGAUACACAGCAUGCACGGACGGCAUGUCGCUGGCGCCGGCAUCGGUCUGCACUUUUCUCGUGGUAGUACGCCGCGACUCGUUGGGUGCGCGUCCAAGGCCCACGCGGGAGCCGGCACCAAAUGCGCGCUUCUAGCGAGCACACGGAGCCGACCGCGAGGUGACCCGACGAGCUUGCCCGACGGUGUACAAGCGAUACGAAAAGAGUCGCGUGCUCUGUGCACACGAUUGCUAUCUCUCGAUAGUACGUUCUCGCGUCAGCGGCGCUCC